UACAGAGGUCUCAAGCGUUGUUCGGAUUCAUUGGGCGUAAAGGGUGCGUAGGCGGCCACCGCAAGUCAAUUGUGAAAUCUCCGGGCUUAACUCGGAAAGGUCAACUGAUACUGCGGGGCUAGAGUGCGGAAGGGGCAACUGGAAUUCUCGGUGUAGCGGUGAAAUGCGUAGAUAUCGAGAGGAACACCUGAGGCGAAGGCGGGUUGCUAGGCUGACACUGACGCUGACAGCGCGAAAGCCAGGGGAGCAAACGGG
This 255-nucleotide ribosomal RNA is filed under the name uncultured bacterium. RNAcentral describes it as "partial 16S ribosomal RNA". It matches the Rfam family "Bacterial small subunit ribosomal RNA", at positions 524 to 776 of the family's 1533-position model. The record is from RNAcentral.